UGGGGAAUAUUGCACAAUGGGGGAAACCCUGAUGCAGCGACGCCGCGUGAACGAAGAAGGUACUCGUAUCGUAAAGUUCUGUCCUAUGGGAAGAUAAUGACAGUACCAUAGAAGAAAGCUCCGGCUAAAUACGUGCCAGCAGCCGCGGUAAUACGUAUGGAGCGAGCGUUGUCCGGAAUUAUUGGGCGUAAAGGGUACGCAGGCGGUUUAAUAAGUCGAAUGUUAAAGAUCGGGGCUCAACCCCGUAAAGCAUUGGAAACUGAUAAACUUGAGUAGUGGAGAGGAAAGUGGAAUUCCUAGUGUAGUGGUGAAAUACGUAGAUAUUAGGAGGAAUACCAGUAGCGAAGGCGACUUUCUGGACACAAACUGACGCUGAGGUACGAAAGCGUGGGGAGCAAACAGG
This 403-nucleotide ribosomal RNA is filed under the name bacterium. RNAcentral describes it as "partial 16S ribosomal RNA". It matches the Rfam family "Bacterial small subunit ribosomal RNA", at positions 355 to 776 of the family's 1533-position model. The record is from RNAcentral.